UGGCCAAGGAUGAUAACUCUAACCUCACUGGAUACACUGCCAUGAUGGGUUCAAGGAUUUACCUGAGGCCA
This is a small nucleolar RNA of Grammomys surdaster, 71 nucleotides long. RefSeq annotates it as small nucleolar RNA SNORD93. The transcript has a single exon. The record is from RefSeq and is a predicted model, not a curated record. NCBI's taxonomy places the organism in Eukaryota, Metazoa, Chordata, Mammalia, Rodentia, Muridae.